Long non-coding RNA from Hyaena hyaena (striped hyena), 674 nucleotides. RefSeq lists it as uncharacterized. Lineage: Eukaryota; Metazoa; Chordata; Mammalia; Carnivora; Hyaenidae. The transcript has 2 exons. The record is from RefSeq and is a predicted model, not a curated record.
UCUGUUUCUAACCUGCCCUCCUACCCAGCAUGUUAGAAACCAGUUAAACUUGUUUGACAGAAAGGCAUGUAAAGGCUGAGUCCUCAGCAAGUUCUAUAUCGAAUCCAAGGAGUCUGAGCAAAGCUGGGAAGUCUGUGACCUCUAUUUUCACCACUCAGAUGGACUUCUUGCAGCUCGAUAGUUUGGAGCUCCAGGUUUAGACGGGCAGUGGCUGACUUUUCAUGAUGUCCAACACCUCUCUGCAUUGAUCCUGCAACUGACGUGAGCCAUGCCAAUGUUUUCUUGGAUAUAAUUAAAUGUUUCUGGUCUUUCAUUCGCUGCCUCAGCCAGGACCUGAGUGUCCACCAAGUGUCGGCCUUGCGGACAUGAUGGUGCCGCAGAGCGAACAGGCGGGUCUGGUUCCUGCCCUCAGGGAGCUUACUGUCCCGCCAGGAAGAGCACAGGAUGUGACACAGAGAUGAUCUGGGACAUACGGACUUAGUCUUAUGGUCCAGUAACUAAAAGAAGGAAGAUGUGGCUGGUACGUCAAAGGAGGGAGAGAGACUCUCGUACACAGGGGUUCACAGGGGGAGACGGGGCCACAUCACAAAAGACCUGAUGUGCUGAAGUUUUGGUGUUUUAAGUGCCAGGGGUAUAACUCACCCGGUCAUUUCUUAAUCCAAACUUUUAUUUUU